RNAcentral lists this ribosomal RNA (293 nucleotides) under Rhipicephalus turanicus. RNAcentral describes it as "partial 12S ribosomal RNA". Lineage: Eukaryota; Metazoa; Arthropoda; Arachnida; Ixodida; Ixodidae. The record is from RNAcentral.
UAUGGGCGGUAUUUUAAGCUUUUCAGAGGAAUUUGCUCUUUAAUGGAUAAAACACCUAAAUCUUACUUAAAUUUGUUAAUUCAAUUUGUAUACCACUAUAAAAACAAUUUAUAACUUUAAUUGUUUAAAUUUAUUAAAUUAAAAUAUAUUAAGUCAAGGUGCAGUAAAAAUUUAAGAAUGAAGUGAAUUACAUUACUCUUUAGAGAAAUAAAUUUAAAAUAAUAUUUAGGAUUUGAAAGUAAAAUUAAAAUAGAAUGUUAAUUUGAAUUAAGCUCUAAAAUAUGUACACAUCG